RNAcentral lists this ribosomal RNA (1662 nucleotides) under Escherichia coli. Its description in RNAcentral is "partial 23S ribosomal RNA". It matches the Rfam family "Bacterial large subunit ribosomal RNA", at positions 1283 to 2925 of the family's 2925-position model. The record is from RNAcentral. RNAcentral also lists the same sequence under 2 other names. Lineage: Bacteria; Pseudomonadati; Pseudomonadota; Gammaproteobacteria; Enterobacterales; Enterobacteriaceae.
CAGAAGUGCGAAUGCUGACAUAAGUAACGAUAAAGCGGGUGAAAAGCCCGCUCGCCGGAAGACCAAGGGUUCCUGUCCAACGUUAAUCGGGGCAGGGUGAGUCGACCCCUAAGGCGAGGCCGAAAGGCGUAGUCGAUGGGAAACAGGUUAAUAUUCCUGUACUUGGUGUUACUGCGAAGGGGGGACGGAGAAGGCUAUGUUGGCCGGGCGACGGUUGUCCCGGUUUAAGCGUGUAGGCUGGUUUUCCAGGCAAAUCCGGAAAAUCAAGGCCGAGGCGUGAUGACGAGGCACUACGGUGCUGAAGCAACAAAUGCCCUGCUUCCAGGAAAAGCCUCUAAGCAUCAGGUAACAUCAAAUCGUACCCCAAACCGACACAGGUGGUCAGGUAGAGAAUACCAAGGCGCUUGAGAGAACUCGGGUGAAGGAACUAGGCAAAAUGGUGCCGUAACUUCGGGAGAAGGCACGCUGAUACGUAGGUGAAGCGACUUGCUCGUGGAGCUGAAAUCAGUCGAAGAUACCAGCUGGCUGCAACUGUUUAUUAAAAACACAGCACUGUGCAAACACGAAAGUGGACGUAUACGGUGUGACGCCUGCCCGGUGCCGGAAGGUUAAUUGAUGGGGUUAGCGCAAGCGAAGCUCUUGAUCGAAGCCCCGGUAAACGGCGGCCGUAACUAUAACGGUCCUAAGGUAGCGAAAUUCCUUGUCGGGUAAGUUCCGACCUGCACGAAUGGCGUAAUGAUGGCCAGGCUGUCUCCACCCGAGACUCAGUGAAAUUGAACUCGCUGUGAAGAUGCAGUGUACCCGCGGCAAGACGGAAAGACCCCGUGAACCUUUACUAUAGCUUGACACUGAACAUUGAGCCUUGAUGUGUAGGAUAGGUGGGAGGCUUUGAAGUGUGGACGCCAGUCUGCAUGGAGCCGACCUUGAAAUACCACCCUUUAAUGUUUGAUGUUCUAACGUGGACCCGUGAUCCGGGUUGCGGACAGUGUCUGGUGGGUAGUUUGACUGGGGCGGUCUCCUCCUAAAGAGUAACGGAGGAGCACGAAGGUUGGCUAAUCCUGGUCGGACAUCAGGAGGUUAGUGCAAUGGCAUAAGCCAGCUUGACUGCGAGCGUGACGGCGCGAGCAGGUGCGAAAGCAGGUCAUAGUGAUCCGGUGGUUCUGAAUGGAAGGGCCAUCGCUCAACGGAUAAAAGGUACUCCGGGGAUAACAGGCUGAUACCGCCCAAGAGUUCAUAUCGACGGCGGUGUUUGGCACCUCGAUGUCGGCUCAUCACAUCCUGGGGCUGAAGUAGGUCCCAAGGGUAUGGCUGUUCGCCAUUUAAAGUGGUACGCGAGCUGGGUUUAGAACGUCGUGAGACAGUUCGGUCCCUAUCUGCCGUGGGCGCUGGAGAACUGAGGGGGGCUGCUCCUAGUACGAGAGGACCGGAGUGGACGCAUCACUGGUGUUCGGGUUGUCAUGCCAAUGGCACUGCCCGGUAGCUAAAUGCGGAAGAGAUAAGUGCUGAAAGCAUCUAAGCACGAAACUUGCCCCGAGAUGAGUUCUCCCUGACCCUUUAAGGGUCCUGAAGGAACGUUGAAGACGACGACGUUGAUAGGCCGGGUGUGUAAGCGCAGCGAUGCGUUGAGCUAACCGGUACUAAUGAACCGUGAGGCUUAACCUU